RNAcentral lists this long non-coding RNA (209 nucleotides) under Manihot esculenta (cassava). Its description in RNAcentral is "long non-coding RNA (MESC_LNC004940)". The record is from RNAcentral. Lineage: Eukaryota; Viridiplantae; Streptophyta; Magnoliopsida; Malpighiales; Euphorbiaceae.
CUGUGCAUAGUCAUAAUCAUAAUUAUGAUCCCUCUGUGGGAUCUCAUCAAUGCCCCAAUGGGCAAUACAUCAUGAGAUGAGUUGGCUUUCAUAAACAUUAUAAAACAUAUUUGAUCAUGUAAUAAAAGGGAUUCCUCAUACACAAUGUCAAGCACAAUACCUAAUCCUCAAUAUCAUUACAUGACUGAAACUAUACUUUUACAUAACAU